UGACUGCUAAUACCGCAUAAGCGCACGGAUUGCAUGAUCCAGUGUGAAAAACUCCGGUGGUGUGAGAUGGACCCGCGUUGGAUUAGCCAGUUGGCAGGGUAACGGCCUACCAAAGCGACGAUCCAUAGCCGGCCUGAGAGGGUGGACGGCCACAUUGGGACUGAGACACGGCCCAGACUCCUACGGGAGGCAGCAUG
Molecule: ribosomal RNA, 197 nt
Filed under: uncultured bacterium
Lineage: Bacteria
Description: partial 16S ribosomal RNA
Rfam family: Bacterial small subunit ribosomal RNA
Source: RNAcentral